CUCGACCUCAGAUCAGACAAGGCUACCCGCUGAAUUUAAGCAUAUUAAUAAGCGGAGGAAAAGAAACUAACAAGGAUUCCCCCAGUAACGGCGAGUGAAGCGGGAACAGCUCAAAUUUAAAAUCUCCGUUGCUUGCAACGGCGAAUUGUAGUUUCGAGAAGCGCUUUCUCGGCGGACCGGCUGCGCCUAAGUUGCUUGGAACAGCACGUCAUAGAGGGUGACAACCCCGUCUGUGGCGUGUCCGGCCGCUCACGAUGUGCUUUCGAAGAGUCGGGUUGUUUGGGAAUGCAGCCCAAAAUGGGUGGUAAACUCCAUCUAAAGCUAAAUAUUGGCACGAGACCGAUAGCGAACAAGUACCGUGAGGGAAAGAUGAAAAGGACUUUGGAAAGAGAGUUAAAAAGUACGUGAAACCGUUAAAAGGGAAACGAAUGGAGCUAGCAAUGCACCCUGCGAGAUUCAGCCGGUGUGUGGCUCGGGCGCGUGGUUUGCAGAUCUGAAUUGACUGCGGCCGCGCGGUUCGGGCUCCCCGCCGUCGCACUUCUCGCGGGUGCGCGUCAACAUGGGUUGGGACCGGGUCUUAAAGGCGUCGGCAAGGUAAGUCCGUCCCCUCGGGGACUGACUGUUUAGGCCGGCACUCUCACGGCCCGGGCCCGACUGAGGAGUUGCAGCACAUGCCUCUUGUGGCUGGGGUCCCGUUCCUCCGGUUGGUUGUCGACUGUGGUGGACUGCUUGCAGUGCACCGCGACUGCUGCCGGUCGCUGGGGCGGUGGCUUCGCACUAUGUGCUUAGGAUGUUGGCGGUCAUAUGGCUUCAUCCGACCCGUCUUGAAACACGGACCAAGGAGUCUACCAUAUGCGCAAGUCUUUGGGUGAUUGAAACUCGCGGGCGCAAUGAAAGUGAAGGCGGCUCCGGCCGUCGAGGUGAGAACCUCCCCUUACCGGGGUGGCGCAUCAUCGACCGACCUAUUCUACUCUUAGGAAGGUUUGAGUAAGAGCGCAUUUGCUGGGACCCGAAAGAUGGUGAACUAUGCCUGAAUAGGGUGAAGCCAGAGGAAACUCUGGUGGAGGCUCGUAGCGAUUCUGACGUGCAAAUCGAUCGUCAAAUUUGGGUAUAGGGGCGAAAGACUAAUCGAACUGUCUAGUAGCUGGUUCCCUCCGAAGUUUCCCUCAGGAUAGCAGGAGCUCAGUGCAGUUUUAUCAGGUAAAGCGAAUGAU
RNAcentral lists this ribosomal RNA (1214 nucleotides) under Tylopathes sp. n. NB-2020. RNAcentral's name for it is "partial 28S ribosomal RNA". It matches the Rfam family "Eukaryotic large subunit ribosomal RNA", at positions 1 to 1021 of the family's 3401-position model. Lineage: Eukaryota; Metazoa; Cnidaria; Anthozoa; Antipatharia; Antipathidae. The record is from RNAcentral.